GACGAACGCUGGCGGCGUGCUUAACACAUGCAAGUCGAACGGAAAGGCCCUGCUUUUGUGGGGUGCUCGAGUGGCGAACGGGUGAGUAACACGUGAGUAACCUGCCCUUGACUUUGGGAUAACUUCAGGAAACUGGGGCUAAUACCGGAUAGGAGCUCCUGCUGCAUGGUGGGGGUUGGAAAGUUUCGGCGGUUGGGGAUGGACUCGCGGCUUAUCAGCUUGUUGGUGGGGUAGUGGCUUACCAAGGCUUUGACGGGUAGCCGGCCUGAGAGGGUGACCGGCCACAUUGGGACUGAGAUACGGCCCAGACUCCUACGGGAGGCAGCAGUGGGGAAUAUUGCACAAUGGGCGGAAGCCUGAUGCAGUAACGCCGCGUGCGGGAGGACGGCCUUCGGGUUGUAAACCGCUUUCGCCUGUGACGAAGCGUGAGUGACGGUAAUGGGUAAAGAAGCACCGGCUAACUACGU
This 467-nucleotide ribosomal RNA is filed under the name uncultured bacterium. Its description in RNAcentral is "partial 16S ribosomal RNA". It matches the Rfam family "Bacterial small subunit ribosomal RNA", at positions 28 to 506 of the family's 1533-position model. The record is from RNAcentral.